UAUCUCGAAAAACCAAAAGACUGCUUUUU
RNAcentral lists this non-coding RNA (29 nucleotides) under Cricetulus griseus (Chinese hamster). Lineage: Eukaryota; Metazoa; Chordata; Mammalia; Rodentia; Cricetidae. The record is from RNAcentral.